This 239-nucleotide ribosomal RNA is filed under the name uncultured bacterium. RNAcentral's name for it is "partial 16S ribosomal RNA". It matches the Rfam family "Bacterial small subunit ribosomal RNA", at positions 100 to 334 of the family's 1533-position model. The record is from RNAcentral.
CCGGCACGGGUGAGUAACACGUAUCCAACCUGCCGUCUACUCUUGGCCAGCCUUCUGAAAGGAAGAUUAAUCCAGGAUGGCAUCAUGAGUUCACAUGUCCGCAUGAUUAAAGGUAUUUUCCGGUAGACGAUGGGGAUGCGUUCCAUUAGAUAGUAGGCGGGGUAACGGCCCACUUAGUCAACGAUGGAUAGGGGUUCUGAGAGGAAGGUCCCCCACAUUGGAACUGAGACACGGUCCAA